This 551-nucleotide long non-coding RNA is filed under the name Equus caballus (horse). RNAcentral describes it as "lncRNA (ENSECAG00000058499.1)". Lineage: Eukaryota; Metazoa; Chordata; Mammalia; Perissodactyla; Equidae. The record is from RNAcentral.
GGAAAAUCUGCCCAAACUAGUGGGAAAAGCCAGAUUGGACUUCAAUAAACCAAAUGUAGUUACCAUAUCUUUAGGAGAAACCAGAAGCUGACAUCAGAAAUACACUGUAGUUGUUUCUUUUCCCACUUAAGUAAGGAUAUAUACGUUUCUUAAUCAGGAAACUUGACAGCAUCCCAAGUAAAAGUCCUACUUUGGAUAUCAUCCUACAUAGAUAUUUGAGCUACGUGGACCCACAAUCAUUUCUCCGGCUCCUGAAGAGGCUGUUUCCACUUAGUGUUAUAAACACGGGAACAGAGUGACAGCAUGCCUCUCUUGCUGCGUCCCUAGUGCAUUGUGAAGAGUAUGAACUAAUAACUCACAAGGGUGCUGCCAUUGGUUUAUGUGGCAGAGAGAGAGCUGUCCGCCAGGUAGCUGUCCUCUCCUGUCAGAGAGGGGGCUGUCACCAGCAGAGAGCUGCCAAGCCAGGGGCUGCAUUUCCAACCGACAGAAGCCAACUUGCUGAGACAUGAGAGAGCCUUCAACUUUAAGAUCCCCUAUUGCCAAAGGUCUCU